CAAGUCGAGUGCGCGCCUGUAGCAAUACAGGUGGCGCACGGCGCACGGGUGCGUAACACGUGGGUAAUCUGCCCUUCGAUGGGGAAUAACUCGCCGAAAGGCGAGCUAAUUCCGCAUAACAUUCCGAGGACUUUGGUUCUUGGAUUCAAAGGCGUAAGUCGUCGGAGGAGGAGCCCGCGCACGAUUAGCUAGUUGGUGAGGUAAUGGCUCACCAAGGCUAUGAUCGUUAGCUGGUCUGAGAGGAUGGCCAGCCACACUGGAACUGAGACACGGUCCAGACUCCUACGGGAGGCAGCAGUGGGGAAUCUUGCACAAUGGGCGAAAGCCUGAUGCAGCGACGCCGCGUGGGGGAUGAAGCUUUUCGGAGUGUAAACCCCUUUCGACCCGGACGAAUGCCUCGCAAGAGGACUGACGGUACGGGUAUAAGAAGCCCCGGCUAACUACGUGCCAGCAGCCGCGGUAAGACGUAGGGGGCCAGCGUUGCUCGGAAUUACUGGGUGUAAAGGGUUCGUAGGCGGUGUGGCAAGUCGGGAGUGAAAUCUCUGGGCUCAACCCAGAGUCUGCUUCCGAAACUGCUGUGCUUGAGUGUGGGAGAGGCGCGUGGAAUUGCAGGUGUAGCGGUGAAAUGCGUAGAUAUCUGCAGGAACACCCGUGGCGAAAGCGGCGCGCUGGACCACUACUGACGCUGAGGAACGAAAGCUAGGGGAGCAAACAGGAUUAGAUACCCUGGUAGUCCUAGCCCUAAACGAUCAGGACUUGGGGUGCCGCCCGUUCGGGCGUCGUCCCGGAGCUAACGCGUUAAGUCCUGCACCUGGGGAGUACGGUCGCAAGACUGAAACUCAAAGGAAUUGACGGGGGCCCGCACAAGCGGUGGAAC
RNAcentral lists this ribosomal RNA (877 nucleotides) under uncultured Acidobacteriota bacterium. Its description in RNAcentral is "bacterial SSU rRNA". It matches the Rfam family "Bacterial small subunit ribosomal RNA", at positions 58 to 938 of the family's 1533-position model. Lineage: Bacteria; Pseudomonadati; Acidobacteriota. The record is from RNAcentral.